Molecule: long non-coding RNA, 1287 nt
Filed under: Gadus morhua (Atlantic cod)
Lineage: Eukaryota; Metazoa; Chordata; Actinopteri; Gadiformes; Gadidae
Description: lncRNA (ENSGMOG00000030440.1)
Source: RNAcentral
AUGGCAGAUAAGUUAUCUGGUUCACUUGCACCUCUCUGUAACUAUAGUGGUUCUGUGGAGUGCCUUACUGAUGACCUCAACAUUGCCUUGCCUGUUGCCUUUGAUUCAGUUGCUCCGAACGUAACUAAAAAACGAACAUUGAAAAAACCAGCCCCCUGGUUUAAUGCAGAAACGUGCAUUUUGAAGCGAAACUGCAUGAUCCUGGAACGCAAAUGGCGCUCGACUAAACUUGAGGUCUUUCAUCUUGCAUGGCAUAACAGUCUGCUCACCUAUAAGGGUGCGCUGACUAUUGCCAGGAAUGCCUACUUUUCCAGUAUCAUCAAUUUGAAUAGAAACAAUCCUAAGUUUCUUUUUGACACGGUGAGGAGUCUCACUCAGAAACAAACUCAGACCGUAGGCUCAUCGAUCGUGGCAGGUGAAUUCAUGGAUUUCUUUGAGAAUAAGAUUCAAUCAAUUAGAGAGGAAAUUGAUGCUUGCCGUGCGGCUAAUCCUACACAUCCUGUGGGGCAGGAUGGGGUCCUGCCAAGUAGGAUGGUGAACUCUGACGCAACUCUCUUGGAGUUUAAGGCAAUUCCUUUGGUGGAACUUGAGAGGGUGAUAAAGGCAUCAAAGCCAACAACCUGUAUGUUGGAUCCUCUCCCUUCCAGGGUUCUUAAGGAACUUCUUCCAACGGUGGGGCCUGCAAUCCUCUCGCUUAUGAAUCUUUCAUUUUCAACAGGAAUUGUUCCCUCCAAUUUCAAGGCUGUGGUGUUAAAACCGCUACUCAAAAAGCCUGGCCUAGAUCCUGAAUUAGUCAGGAACUAUCGGCCUAUAUCGAAUCUGCCCUUCCUGUCCAAGGUACAGGAAAGGAUUGUAGCAAAGCAAAUCGUUGACUAUCUGACGAGGAACAAUCUCUUUGAACCUUUCCAGUCGGGGUUCAGGAAUUUCCACUCAACUGAAACUGCUAUUACAAGAGUUGUAAAUGACAUCCUUUUAGCUUUGGAUAAAAAUACAAGCACAAUGCUUGUGCACUCUUGGGCACUCUUCUUCACCGUCUUGAACACUAUGUUGGUUUCGGGGGUACGGCUCUUGGUUGGCUUGAAUCGUACCUCACAGAUAGAACCCAAUUUGUGCAUCAUGAGGGUGCAGAAUCAAAGCACUGUAAAUUGCGCUUUGGCGUACCACAAGGGUCGGUUCUUGGUCCAUUACUUUUUGCAAUAUACAUACUUCCCCUGGGCGACGUUAUCCGCAGCUUCGGAAUUAGUUUCCAUUGCUAUGCGGAUGACACCCAGCUCUACAUUCCUGUAG